GGAUUGUAGGCUGCAACUCGCCUACAUGAAGUCGGAAUUGCUAGUAAUCGCGGAUCAGCAUGCCGCGGUGAAUACGUUCCCGGGCCUUGUACACACCGCCCGUCACACCAUGGGAGUCGGUAACACCCGAAGCCUGUAGUCUAACCGCAAGGAGGACGCAGUCGAAGGUGGGAUUGAUGACUGGGGUGAAGUCGUAACAAGGUACC
This 206-nucleotide ribosomal RNA is filed under the name uncultured bacterium. Its description in RNAcentral is "partial 16S ribosomal RNA". It matches the Rfam family "Bacterial small subunit ribosomal RNA", at positions 1295 to 1500 of the family's 1533-position model. The record is from RNAcentral.